Arabidopsis thaliana (thale cress) is the source of this 331-nucleotide long non-coding RNA. RefSeq annotates it as other RNA. NCBI's taxonomy places the organism in Eukaryota, Viridiplantae, Streptophyta, Magnoliopsida, Brassicales, Brassicaceae. The record is from RefSeq. The transcript has a single exon.
AGAAACACCCAACUUGUAAAUUUCAGAUGACAAAGUGAAACAACUUUUCGGUAUCAAUGAAGUAGUAUUAAUCUCCCAACUAGUAAGUAAAUUAAGCAUACAAACUAAAAUCAAGAACACAAUAGACAAAAUUGAUUUCAAUCACGAAACUGAAGCUAGAUUUUAGAAAUCAGGGAGCUAAUUAGAUGCUAUUUCGGGAAAGUAAUAACCCAGAAGGAAGAAAACGAAAUGUGACUGUUCUUAGUGCCUAAGAGUGAAGACAAAAGGAGAAAAGGAAGAAAAUUUGGUAGCUCAAAGCGUAAACAAACCUUGCCACCAUUGCAGAUCUCUU